AAAACUCAUAGAAAACAACAGAAAACAAACAAAAGUAACAGAGAAAAAAAGUGUGGUCUUCAAUGAAACAAAGAAAUAUCUAUAACCUCAGAUCCUAAACUAUGAAGGAUAUGUGCCAAAUGCAUGGAACUUAAGCCAAAAUGAGAAAAAAAAUAUCCAGAAUGAGCAGUCUUCUCUUUGGAUCUUAAGCUAAAACUUUUUUUGGGCAGCCAUGUGAGAAUACGACUACCCUGCUGAGGAAAUCACAUGAAGAGAUUAAGUGGAGAAAUGUGGAGGAAAGGCUUUGCGACUGCAUGGGGCAACCAUCCCAGCCUGCGAGUGGAGCGCCCAAAUGACUCCAGUCCUCACUGUUGUCAUCUGACUGCAGCUGCAGGAGAGACCCGAGGUAUGGGAAAGAAAAGGCAAUUUUCAAGCAGACCUAAAAGAAGAAUUGAAAACUAAGGAUUUUUGGUUAACGAGUAUUACUCCCAAGGAGAUGGAAUUACAUUUGGGCCUGAUUUAGAGGAUUUCUUGAACUUAGCACUUAGGAUGAAAUCUGUUUGAGUACUGGAAAUGUGUUAGUGAACUUUACAUGGAAGAGGACUAUAAAUAACUUGUGAGCCAAGGACUACUGCAAGAAAUUAAAGAUGACUGUAUCUUCUUCACUUCUCCGUUGAGAGUUCUUUUGGAGAGCUCUGAACUUCCACUUAAGAAGUCUAAUUAUAGUGCAGAAGAGAAUAUAUAUCGAAAGAUUAUGAGCGGUAGAAAGACCCUGAGAAUACAUGAAAAUAAGAGAAGUUUUGCUGUUACCUACCACGUCCCAACCAGGUUUCCAGAUUACUCUUGCUCCACCUGCCAUCUGAGAACCACUGCAUGGGCAACCUCAAAUACGACCUGCCGAAACUUUCCAGGGAAGUCCUGAAAACCCACAGGACUGUGAGAGAAGAUAAGUGGUGCUUGUUUUAAGUCACUGAAGUUUGCGGUGGUUUGUUAAAUAGCAACAAAUAACUGGAACACUAUCAUCAUUAUUAUUUAAUAUUGUUUAGAAAAUUCUUGCCAAUAAUAAUUGUCAACAGAAAGAUAGAACACAUAUGAGAAUGGGAGGAGAAUGCAAAAUCAUUAUUCUUAUUGCAUAUGGUAUAAUUCAUGAUUGGAAAUUCAAGAGAAAUGAUGUUUGCUAAGCUACUUGUUCUCAAAAUUAAUAUACAAAAAUUGUUAGCUUUGCAA
Long non-coding RNA from Canis lupus familiaris (dog), 1206 nucleotides. RefSeq lists it as uncharacterized. The transcript has 5 exons. The record is from RefSeq and is a predicted model, not a curated record. Lineage: Eukaryota; Metazoa; Chordata; Mammalia; Carnivora; Canidae.